UACGGAGGGUCCGAGCGUUGUCCGGAAUUAUUGGGUUUAAAGGGUACGUAGGCGGAAUAAUAAGUCAGAGGUGAAAUCCUGCAGCUCAACUGUAGAACUGCCUUUGAAACUGUUAAUCUUGAGUAUGGUAUGGGUAAGCGGAAUUUAUAAUGUAGCGGUGAAAUGCAUAGAUAUUAUAAAGAACACCGAUAGCGAAGGCAGCUUACUGGACCAUAACUGACGCUAAUGUACGAAAGCGUGGGUAGCGAACAGG
Molecule: ribosomal RNA, 253 nt
Filed under: uncultured bacterium
Lineage: Bacteria
Description: partial 16S ribosomal RNA
Rfam family: Bacterial small subunit ribosomal RNA
Source: RNAcentral